RNAcentral lists this ribosomal RNA (490 nucleotides) under uncultured bacterium. Its description in RNAcentral is "partial 16S ribosomal RNA". It matches the Rfam family "Bacterial small subunit ribosomal RNA", at positions 28 to 507 of the family's 1533-position model. The record is from RNAcentral.
GAUGAACGCUAGCGAUAGGCUUAACACAUGCAAGUCGAGGGGCAGCAUGGUCUUAGCUUGCUAAGACUGAUGGCGACCGGCGCACGGGUGCGUAACGCGUAUGCAACUUGCCUCACAGAGGGGGAUAACCCGUCGAAAGACGGACUAAUACCGCGUACACUCUAUGUUGGGCAUCCAAUGUAGAGGAAAUGAAAUUCGCUGUGAGAUAGGCAUGCGUCCCAUUAGCUAGUUGGUGAGGUAACGGCUCACCAAGGCGACGAUGGGUAGGGGAACUGAGAGGUUGAACCCCCACACUGGUACUGAGACACGGACCAGACUCCUACGGGAGGCAGCAGUGAGGAAUAUUGGUCAAUGGGCGAGAGCCUGAACCAGCCAAGUCGCGUGAAGGAUGACUGUCUUAUGGAUUGUAAACUUCUUUUAUACGGGAAUAACAAGAGCCACGUGUGGCUCCCUGCAUGUACCGUAUGAAUAAGCAUCGGCUAACUCCGUG